AGCGAACGCUGGCGGCAUGCUUAACACAUGCAAGUCGCACGGGCAGCAAUGUCAGUGGCGGACGGGUGAGUAACGCGUAGGAACGUGUCCUGAGGUGGGGGACAACCUCGGGAAACUGGGGCUAAUACCGCAUAUGGGCUGAGGCCCAAAGCCGUGAGGCGCCUUUGGAGCGGCCUGCGUCCGAUUAGGUAGUUGGUGGGGUAAAGGCCUACCAAGCCUGCGAUCGGUAGCUGGUCUGAGAGGACGACCAGCCACACUGGGACGGAGACACGGCCCAGACUCCUACGGGAGGCAGCAGUGGGGAAUAUUGGACAAUGGGCGAAAGCAUGAUCCAGCAAGGCCGCGUGGGUGAAGAAGGUCUUCGGAUCGUAAAGCCCUUUCGACGGGGACGAUGAUGACGGUACCCGUAGAAGAAGCCCCGGCUAACUUCGUG
Molecule: ribosomal RNA, 433 nt
Filed under: uncultured bacterium
Lineage: Bacteria
Description: partial 16S ribosomal RNA
Rfam family: Bacterial small subunit ribosomal RNA
Source: RNAcentral